This 34-nucleotide transfer RNA is filed under the name Chrysanthemum chanetii. RNAcentral describes it as "partial tRNA-Phe". The record is from RNAcentral. Lineage: Eukaryota; Viridiplantae; Streptophyta; Magnoliopsida; Asterales; Asteraceae.
UUGGGAUAGCUCAGUGUAGAGGCAGGAGAAGGAU